RNAcentral lists this ribosomal RNA (806 nucleotides) under uncultured fungus. RNAcentral describes it as "SSU rRNA". It matches the Rfam family "Eukaryotic small subunit ribosomal RNA", at positions 577 to 1389 of the family's 1831-position model. Lineage: Eukaryota; Fungi. The record is from RNAcentral.
CGGUAAUUCCAGCUCCAAUAGCGUAUAUUAAAGUUGUUGUGGUUAAAAAGCUCGUAGUCGAACCUUGGGCCUGGCUGGCCGGUCCCCCUCACCGGGUGCACUGAUCCAGCCGGGCCUUUCCCUCUGUGGAACCCCAUGGCCUUCACUGGCUGUGCGGGGGAAACAGGACUUUUACUGUGAAAAAAUUAGAGUGCUCCAGGCAGGCCUAUGCUCGAAUACAUUAGCAUGGAAUAAUAGAAUAGGACGUGUGGUUCUAUUUUGUUGGUUUCUAGGACCGCCGUAAUGAUUAAUAGGGACAGUCGGGGGCAUCAGUAUUCAGUUGUCAGAGGUGAAAUUCUUGGAUCUACUGAAGACUAACUACUGCGAAAGCAUUUGCCAAGGAUGUUAUCAUUGAUAAGGAACGAAAGUUAGGGGAUCGAAGACGAUCAGAUACCGUCGUAGUCUUAACUAUAAACUAUGCCGACUAGGGAUCGGACGAUGUUAUUAUUUGACGCGUUCGGCACCUUUCGAGAAAUCAAAGUGCUUGGGCUCCAGGGGGAGUAUGGUCGCAAGGCUGAAACUUAAAGAAAUUGACGGAAGGGCACCACCAGGGGUGGAACCUGCGGCUUAAUUUGACUCAACACGGGGAAACUCACCAGGUCCAGACACAGUGAGGAUUGACAGAUUGAGAGCUCUUUCUUGAUUCUGUGGGUGGUGGUGCAUGGCCGUUCUUAGUUGGUGGAGUGAUUUGUCUGCUUAAUUGCGAUAACGAACGAGACCUUAACCUGCUUAAAUAGGCCCGUACUGCUCUGGCAGUUCGCUGGCUU